GAGACACCCCUAUGGACCAGGACUUGCUUCAGUGGGACUUUUAUGCUUACUGUGUCUGCCCCCUGAGUGUGUCACU
Molecule: microRNA precursor, 76 nt
Filed under: Myotis davidii
Lineage: Eukaryota; Metazoa; Chordata; Mammalia; Chiroptera; Vespertilionidae
Description: mir-9229 microRNA precursor family
Rfam family: mir-9229 microRNA precursor family
Source: Rfam by way of RNAcentral